RNAcentral lists this ribosomal RNA (498 nucleotides) under uncultured bacterium. Its description in RNAcentral is "partial 16S ribosomal RNA". It matches the Rfam family "Bacterial small subunit ribosomal RNA", at positions 30 to 523 of the family's 1533-position model. The record is from RNAcentral.
AUUGAACGCUGGCGGCAUGCCUUACACAUGCAAGUCGAACGGGCUUUGGGGCUUGCUCCAAAGUUAGUGGCGAACGGGUGAGUAAAGUAUCGGAACGUGUCAUUGAGUGGGGGAUAACGCAGCGAAAGUUACGCUAAUACCGCAUAUUCUGUGAGCAGGAAAGCAGGGGAUCGCAAGACCUUGCGCUGAUUGAGCGGCCGAUGUCAGAUUAGCUAGUUGGUGAGGUAAAGGCUCACCAAGGCGACGAUCUGUAGCGGGUCUGAGAGGAUGAUCCGCCACACUGGAACUGAGACACGGUCCAGACUCCUACGGGAGGCAGCAGUGGGGAAUUUUGGACAAUGGGGGCAACCCUGAUCCAGCCAUGCCGCGUGAGUGAAGAAGGCCUUCGGGUUGUAAAGCUCUUUCGGCCGGGAAGAAAUCGCACGGGCUAAUACCCUGUGUGGAUGACGGUACCGGAAUAAGAAGCACCGGCUAACUACGUGCCAGCAGCCGCAGUAA